Mya arenaria is the source of this 2804-nucleotide long non-coding RNA. RefSeq lists it as uncharacterized. NCBI's taxonomy places the organism in Eukaryota, Metazoa, Mollusca, Bivalvia, Myida, Myidae. The transcript has 3 exons. The record is from RefSeq and is a predicted model, not a curated record.
GCUCAGACGAACAUUCGUGUAAAAAAUGGAUUGAAAUGGACAAUCAUAAAAUUUUGGGCUAUGGACUUAUUGAAGACAACUGUAUGGAGAUAAACAGAAACACAGAGGUGCUAUACAUUCUGAUGGAAAAGACAACAAAAGCAUCUCCCAUCAUUUUGGCGUGGCUCAGAUCAAGAGGAGAAAUUUAAAAAAGGUGAUGGUUGGGCACACACAAGAAGACAUAGAUCACAGGCGUAUAGCAUAUGAGUAGACAGGAGUUUCACACUCUGCCAGACUUACUUCCUCAGACGAGCAGAUUUAGGCUUCUCAAGAUCACGCACUGCACACUAAGACAUAGUCUUUAACUACAACAAGGCCUUAGGGGAUGAAAGUACAGAGAGGUCCAAUUGAAAUCAGUUCUGUGCUGCGUCAUUUCUUUAUUCUAGAGGUUGAUGGACAUGAUUUAUGGCAUCAAGUGUGCAGUUUGUCAACUAACUAUCAACACAGCAGUCUUGUUCACCAGCUGCGCAACUUGAGCUUUUAGCUUUAUUGCUUGAAGCCACUGUAUAAGAGGAGGGAAGGUGCAGACUCAUCAAAAAGUCUCAAGGUUGAAACUAGGAAGAGAAGUUUGUCAAGAGUGUGAAUAUUUGCUUUGAAAACAAUUGUUACAAUGAUUUGGUUUCCUUUGAAACUUGAUACAUACUAUGUGUAUGUUAAAUGAAUUGAGAUGCUUAAAUAAAGAACCACUAUUCAAAUAUCAGGAAACUGCAUUUUUCAUACUAAAUUGGUAAAUGAUGUCACCAUUUCCUGUAUGUAUUUAAAUAAGAUAUGUUUCCACAAUUAAUAUUUUUAGGGACUAUUUCUCAACGUAAUGAAAUAGAUUAAAUUUGUACAGCGUUAUAUGAGCUUAAUAUGUGUUUUCUGUUUCCUUAAAAUUGAUGAAAAAUUGUCAGAAGGUAAUGAGACCAGUAUCCAUUACUACAAUCAUACAAUAAAAAAUACAGGGACAAGCCCACUGCUCAUAUAAUAUGAUUAAACCUUGUUUAGGGGCAUGAGGCAAACAGAGUUACUUUCAAAUGUUAAAGAUGCACUCCCACACUUUGGAUGUUUUGACAACUGUUUUCAUUUUUAGCUCUACUGGCCAAAGGCCAGAAGAGCUUAUGCGAUGGUAAUGUGUACGUAGUAUGUGCGUCUGUAAACAAUCCUCGUUUACAUGAUACAGCCUACAGUUCCUUUCGAAAACCAGCCAGAUCCGCCCAUGCAUGCCUAGUUUAUGGGCCUUGAUAGUAUACAAAAAUCAGUGUGUCAGUAGGCAAUUGCUCGUUAACAUGAUACAGCCUUUUUGAUUGUAUCUCAAUGAAACUUGUACAGUAUCUACAUAUCCAUAUGAGCUCGGUUCCUUUUGAAAACCAGCCAGAUCCGCCCAUGCAUGCCAAGAUCAUGGGCCUUGAUAAUAAAAAAAAAUAGUGUGUCAGUAAACAAUUGCUCGGUAACACGAUACAGUCUUCAGUUUUGAUUGUAUCUUGAUGAAACUUGUCCAGUAUAUCCAUUAGAGCUCAGUUCCUUUCAAAAACCUGAUCUGCCCAUGUUUCCUGGAUUAUUGGCCUUGAAAUUAUUAGAUGAUGGGCCUUGAUAGUAUAAAAAAUGCUAUUAUGUAAUAAAUGCUUGCGAAUAUGAUACAGUCUUCAGUUUUGAGUAUUCCGAUACCCAUAAGGGGUUGGUUCUUUUCGAAAACAGUGAUGUUGACCACACAAACCCAGCCAGUAGAGCAUAAGCCCUUUUGGGCCUCUUGUUUGUUUUGGAUUGGUACCAUCCAGUCUUUGCGAAAAAUGCAUGGAAACCAGUAAUAUAAGACUACUGACAAAAAAUUCAAUUGCAGACUUUUUUAUUUAAGUUAAAACAUUGAUGUUUUAUGCACUUUUCUUAAACCGUUAGUAACAUUAAUCUUCGAAGGAAAUAUGAAAUCUGGGAUUUGAUGUUUUGUCAGCAAUCUUUUACCAUUGGUUUGUUGAUAUUUACGCAAAAAUUUGCUCAUUCCAAGACAAAACAAAAGUUGUUAAAACGGUAUAUCUGUGAGAAUGCAGCUCUAAAUGUUUUGGCAAACAUGUUUUUGAUUUGGCAGCACAAUCAAUCUUGAACAUUGCUUGAUUUUACUGCUGUAUUAGAAAUUACAGGGGUAAUGGGGGAUUUUUUUAGUGUUUUUAUUGCUUUUUGUGAUUCAUACAGUCAUACUUCAUUCCCCAGGGCACAACUUACAAAUAGACAGAACAGGAAAAUGGUCAUUUUAAAAGGUCAAGGACAAUGCAAGUUGAACAAUCAUAUUGUUCAUGGCUUGUAUUUUUGGUAUAUUUUGUUGCAUAUAUGCUAUAAAAAAGUUGAAAGUUAAAAAUAACUUCAUAGUUGAAAUGAUGGCUUUGAAUGGUUUUGUCAGUUGAGAAACAGCACUAUUAAGAAAUAUAUGUUAAUGGUACUUUAUUAUUUUAAUCAAUUUUAGAUAUUUGUAUGAAAAUUAUUAUCUUAUUUUGUACAUGAGACCUUUUAAACAAUUAUUUAUAAUUUAACAAUGUGUAAAUGAUCAAAACUUAAAGCUGCACUUUCACAGAUUGUCAUUUUAGACACUUUAAAAAAAUUGUCUCAAAAGCUGAUUUGGUUAUCAUUCCUUUAAUUCAGUCAUAUUAGAUAAUUCACAAUAGAACCAAUCAAAAAUGUUUGGUAAGACUGCCGAAAAGUUCAUUUACAUUAAAUUGUUCGUAAUGCUACUAUACCCAUAAAACAUCAUUUUAGCCAUAAAUAUGACAAAAUGCAAUCUGAUCUUAUUUCAGCAG